RNAcentral lists this long non-coding RNA (345 nucleotides) under Mytilus galloprovincialis (Mediterranean mussel). The record is from RNAcentral. Lineage: Eukaryota; Metazoa; Mollusca; Bivalvia; Mytilida; Mytilidae.
GUUCAAAUAAAUUGGAUGUAAGCUAUUAUAGGCAACUUUGCAACCUUCAGCAAUGACACAAAACCAUACCGUUUUGCUGGCUAUAACAGAGUUUCUAUUUUUUUUUCUUUGCCGAACCAAAAGCCUCUGCUAUCAAAUUUAAAAUCUGGUUCCACAGCACAGAACAACAUAUGUAUUAAUUUGGUAUAAGAUAAAGCAUUGACAUCAUGUGGUAGCACAAGGCUUUUGAUAUUUCAAGCAAGUAUUCUUUACCGGGUCAGCAUUUUUGGUUUGUACUGUUGAUGCUGACGGGAUAGUUAGUCUGAUAUGUGUUUAUGAAACCAGAUAUGUGUAGUAGUUUUGAAC